RNAcentral lists this ribosomal RNA (497 nucleotides) under uncultured bacterium. RNAcentral describes it as "partial 16S ribosomal RNA". It matches the Rfam family "Bacterial small subunit ribosomal RNA", at positions 28 to 507 of the family's 1533-position model. The record is from RNAcentral.
GACGAACGCUGGCGGCGUGCCUAAUACAUGCAAGUUGAGCGCUGAAGGUUGGUACUUGUACCGACUGGCUGAGCAGCGAACGGGUGAGUAACGCGUGGGGAAUCUGCCUUUGAGCGGGGGACAACAUUUGGAAACGAAUGCUAAUACCGCAUAAAAACUUUAAACACAAGUUUUAAGUUUGAAAGAUGCAAUUGCAUCACUCAAAGAUGAUCCCGCGUUGUAUUAGCUAGUUGGUGGGGUAAAGGCUCACCAAGGCGAUGAUACAUAGCCGACCUGAGAGGGUGGUCGGCCACAUUGGGACUGAGACACGGCCCAAACUCCUACGGGAGGCAGCAGUAGGGAAUCUUCGGCAAUGGACGAAAGUCUGACCGAGCAACGCCGCGUGAGGGAAGAAGGUUUUCGGAGCGUAAAACUCUGUUGGUAGAGAAGAACGUUGGUGAGAGUGGAAAGCUCAUCAAGUGACGGUAACUACACAGAAAGGGACGGCUAACUACGUG